RNAcentral lists this ribosomal RNA (354 nucleotides) under uncultured bacterium. RNAcentral's name for it is "bacterial SSU rRNA". It matches the Rfam family "Bacterial small subunit ribosomal RNA", at positions 29 to 380 of the family's 1533-position model. The record is from RNAcentral.
AUUGAACGCUGGCGGCAUGCCUUACACAUGCAAGUCGAACGGCAGCACGGGAGCAAUCCUGGUGGCGAGUGGCGAACGGGGUGAGUAAUAUAUCGGAACGUGCCCAGUCGUGGGGGAUAACGUAGCGAAAGCGUACGCUAAUACCGCAUACGAUCUAUGGAUGAAAGCGGGGGGAUCGCAAGACCUCGCGCGAUUGGAGCGGCCGAUAUCAGAUUAGGUAGUUGGUGAGGUAAAGGCUCGCCAAGCCGACGAUCUGUAGCUGGUCUGAGAGGACGACCAGCCACACUGGGACUGAGACACGGCCCAGACUCCUACGGGAGGCAGCAGUGGGGAAUUUUGGGACAAUGGGCGCAA